GCUGGGUGUGGUGGUGUGCACCUGUAAUCCCAGCUACUCAGGAGGCUGAGGCAGGAGAAUUGCUUGAACCCGGGAGUCAGAGGUUGCAGUGAGCCAAGAUUGUGCCACUCCACUCCAGCCUGGGUGACAGAGCAAGACUCCGUCUCAA
Molecule: unclassified non-coding RNA, 148 nt
Organism: Pongo abelii (Sumatran orangutan)
Lineage: Eukaryota; Metazoa; Chordata; Mammalia; Primates; Hominidae
Rfam family: Metazoan signal recognition particle RNA
About the family: The signal recognition particle (SRP) is a universally conserved ribonucleoprotein. It is involved in the co-translational targeting of proteins to membranes. The eukaryotic SRP consists of a 300-nucleotide 7S RNA and six proteins: SRPs 72, 68, 54, 19, 14, and 9.
Source: Ensembl